Ziziphus jujuba (common jujube) is the source of this 1333-nucleotide long non-coding RNA. RefSeq lists it as uncharacterized. NCBI's taxonomy places the organism in Eukaryota, Viridiplantae, Streptophyta, Magnoliopsida, Rosales, Rhamnaceae. The record is from RefSeq and is a predicted model, not a curated record. The transcript has 5 exons.
UCUUCUCCAGCUAGCAGCCUCGGUGCUUUACAAAACCCACGCGGGCCAGAUUUCCACAGGAAAAUCGUUCCAAUCUCGAUAUCGAUCCACCAUACUGCCGCCUCAGCCACCAAGCCCAUUCUACCAGUGACUGAACCACGGAGAGAGUACUCCAAAUGACUACUCGAUGUGCCGGAGAAGAGCUGGACUUGGGCGAUAAGUAUUGCAGUUCGAUCACCGGAAAUCAAUGGUUCGCAGAUCUUAGGGCUGACCUUUUCCACCAUUAGUGGACUUUUUGAGCUCGAAUCAAAGCUCGGAUUGGCUCGAAAUUUUUUCAUUUGCAAAGUACGAAGGAACCCACUUUGCUAGCAACUUUCAGUCGAAGUUUAUGGUCACUGGCGGCCACCGUCGAGCAAAGUAAGCUCACAAACUUGUUACUCUCUUCACAAGGUUCAUUUUGGUAUAUAAUUUGUCCAUUAUUGUUCAAGGAUGGAAAGGACGGUUAUGGUGGAGGCCAUGACCCAUUUGACAUCUUCCAAUCUUUCUGCGAUGGCAGUGCUUUUGGAGGUAGUAGCAGAGGUGGACCGAGGCAGAGGAGUGGGGAUGCUGUAGUGCACCCUCUAAAUGUUUCAUUGGAAGACCUUUACUUUGGAACCUCAAAUAAGCUCUCACUUUCGUGGAAUGUGACAUGUUCCAAGUGUAAUGGGUAAGUAAAAAUUUGCAAACCAGUAUGGAAAUUCCUCGACUUUGGUUGGAACCAGUAUGGAAAUUCCUCAACUUUGGUUGGUUUAUCGCUUUGGACUCCACUGGUGAGGACUGAGGAUGACCCCAUGGACUUAAACUCUAAUAAUUUGGAUGCAGUCAUUGAUUUGGGUAAUGAUGGGUUUGGAUUCUCAUAUGAGCAUGCUCUAUCUCUUUUGGCUGCCAAGACGAGCAAAGCUAGACCAAGUUAUGGACAAGCUCAUGCUGCAGCUGUACACAUACAGUAAAAGUAUCGUGGUUGGAAAAAGAGAAAAGAACUCCUAAUCAAAGACAAGAUUUGGAAGUAGUGGUUGGGAAGCUGGAGGAAUUGAAGAAGAGUUUGUAAUGCUUGGCAGGAUUCUUGGAGAAUAUAUUAAUGAACUACAUUGGAAGAUGAAGAUUGUAAAGAUUUAGUGGGAAUAGGCAGCCAUCUUGUAUAUAUAUUUAUUUUUACCUAGAAUAAUACUUAUUCUUUUAAUCAAUUAGCAUAAAAGAAUAAUAUAUUUAUUCUUUUAAUCAAUUAGCAAUAUCUAAUAAAAAGUUGUUUAUUUCAAUUACAAAUUUUAUGUGUCACUGAUGUUUUAAGUGACAAAUUAGAUGUGCCACUGAUGGU